Molecule: ribosomal RNA, 493 nt
Filed under: uncultured soil bacterium
Lineage: Bacteria
Description: bacterial SSU rRNA
Rfam family: Bacterial small subunit ribosomal RNA
Source: RNAcentral
AGAUUGAACGCUGGCGGCAGGCCUAACACAUGCAAGUCGAGCGGCAGCACGGGUACUUGUACCUGGCGGCGAGCGGCGGACGGGUGAGUAAUGCCUAGGAAUCUGCCUGGUAGUGGGGGAUAACGCUCGGAAACGGACGCUAAUACCGCAUACGUCCUACGGGAGAAAGCAGGGGACCUUCGGGCCUUGCGCUAUCAGAUGAGCCUAGGUCGGAUUAGCUAGUUGGUGAGGUAAUGGCUCACCAAGGCGACGAUCCGUAACUGGUCUGAGAGGAUGAUCAGUCACACUGGAACUGAGACACGGUCCAGACUCCUACGGGAGCAGCAGUGGGAAUAUUGGACAAUGGGCGAAAGCCUGAUCCAGCCAUGCCGCGUGUGUGAAGAAGGUCUUCGGAUUGUAAAAGCUAACUUUAAGUUGGAAGGAAGGCAAGUUACCUAAUUACGUAUCUUGUUUUGAACGUUACCGACAGAAUAAGACACCGGCUAACUCUGUG